RNAcentral lists this transfer RNA (66 nucleotides) under Bacteroides sp. 9_1_42FAA. RNAcentral describes it as "tRNA-Gly". It matches the Rfam family "tRNA", at positions 6 to 65 of the family's 71-position model. From Rfam's summary of the family: Transfer RNA (tRNA) molecules are approximately 80 nucleotides in length. The record is from RNAcentral. Lineage: Bacteria; Pseudomonadati; Bacteroidota; Bacteroidia; Bacteroidales; Bacteroidaceae.
AAUAGCUCAGUUGGUAGAGCAUAACCUUGCCAAGGUUAGGGUCGCGAGUUCGAGUCUCGUUUUCCG